GUGCUCACUACAGGAGCACAUACACUAAAGUUGGAAUGAUACAGAGAAGAUUAGCAUGGCCCCUGUGCAAAGAUGACAUGCAAAUUCGUGAAGCAUUCCAUAUUUUU
This 107-nucleotide small nuclear RNA is filed under the name Callithrix jacchus (white-tufted-ear marmoset). The record is from RNAcentral. Lineage: Eukaryota; Metazoa; Chordata; Mammalia; Primates; Cebidae.